Long non-coding RNA from Sinocyclocheilus grahami, 182 nucleotides. RefSeq lists it as uncharacterized. The record is from RefSeq and is a predicted model, not a curated record. Lineage: Eukaryota; Metazoa; Chordata; Actinopteri; Cypriniformes; Cyprinidae. The transcript is spliced from 3 exons.
UAUAUUUAGACUUUUUCUAAGUAUAAGUCAAGUAUACUUAAAUGUCAUUUUAAGUGUAUUUCUGAGAAGUGCAUAAAAUGUAGACUGAAAGUAUACUUGCUUUUAUUUUUAGUUUAAAAGAAGUAUAUUAAUAGCACACUUGAAUAAACCUCUUUUUCGUAAGGGCACACACACUCACACAG